Molecule: unclassified non-coding RNA, 224 nt
Filed under: Hevea brasiliensis (rubber tree)
Lineage: Eukaryota; Viridiplantae; Streptophyta; Magnoliopsida; Malpighiales; Euphorbiaceae
Source: RNAcentral
UCUUCAUGAAUCUCACUAAAUAUUGUAGGAAAGCUAUGAUUGAUUUUCUAUUCGGGGAUUCAUUAUUAAGUAUUAUGACCCUAUUUAGGUGACAGAAUUGUUGAACUUUUAUCUAGUGAAUAUUUCCUUGACAUGGAAAUUAUGGCGAAUAAAUUUUUCAGGGGUUUGUGAGACUACUCAGACCUAACCCCCAACAACAAAUAUACAUGGAAGAAAUAUUGAAG